Molecule: long non-coding RNA, 481 nt
Organism: Lagopus muta (rock ptarmigan)
Lineage: Eukaryota; Metazoa; Chordata; Aves; Galliformes; Phasianidae
Exons: 3
Source: RefSeq, a predicted model, not a curated record
UGUGGUCUGGUACCAAACUGGCAAUCUGCCUUGGGAUUUGGCACAACACAGACAAGAGAUGUCCACAUUUUUCAGGAUCCCAGGAUUCUCAGGAUGUCUUCUUUGAAUGCUAGCGAAUUACAUUGAUGCAGAUACUGACAGGCACUUCUGAAUCUGUGCCCCUUUUUGAAGAAGUCUUCGUCAAUUCCUCAGCAGACAGCAUCUUCAGUUUGCUCCAAGGCUCAUGAGAUUCAUCCAGGAGACUUCUGCCUGCCUGAGUGUGGCCAGCUAAGAAGGUAUUCAAGUUCUUGCUUAAUUCACCAGCAUCUGGGUGAGGAUGCAAUAGACCUGAAAGCUGAGGGUGAGCCUCUUCACUGCAGAGAAGAAACAUACAUUGGGUUGCUUCUGCCAACCAAAAGCCGAGACAGCUUUGGUUUCAUCCACCUGGACGCUGCUGGCUUUGAUUUUUUUAUGGAAAUGUGAGUGCCCGUCUCUCUCUAAU